AGUGAAUGCAAAUGGCUUUAUUAGAGUGCUUGUAAUCAUUAAAUUAUUACACAUUAUGUCAUGGAAAUACACAGGUCCUGCUACAGAUUCAACUGAGAUGAUUUCACCCCAUCUCCCCCUUUCUUCUGGAGAAAUAAGUCAGAUGAACACAAGUCAGAUCUGAAAGCUCUGCUGCAGUUGGAUCAGCAUGGAGUUAUAUUCCUGGGAGCUUCCAGGAAGUAAACACUGUAGCAGCUUUUAAAUACUUCAUGAUCCAGACAGCCUUGCUGAAGUGAAUAGGUGGGAGGUUGGACAUGAAAAAUUGAAAAAUAUCACCCUGAGUGCUUACUUCAACUUCCAUAAACCUUGCUAUGAUCAUUGACAAAGCCUCCCUCACACACA
RNAcentral lists this long non-coding RNA (381 nucleotides) under Coturnix japonica (Japanese quail). RNAcentral describes it as "lncRNA (ENSCJPG00005001510.1)". The record is from RNAcentral. Lineage: Eukaryota; Metazoa; Chordata; Aves; Galliformes; Phasianidae.